CCUACGGGAUGCUGCAGUGAGGAAUAUUGGUCAAUGGCCGAGAGGCUGAACCAGCCAAGUCGCGUGAGGGAAGAAUGUCCUAUGUAUUGUAAACCUCUUUUGUCAGGGAGCAAAGUCACCCACGUGUGGGUGUUGGAGAGUACCUGACGAAAAAGCAUCGGCUAACUCCGUUCCAGCAGCGGCGGUAAUACGGAGGAUGCGAGCGUUAUCCGGAUGUAUUGGGGUUAAAGGGUGCGUAGGCGGGUUAUCAAGUCAGCGGUAAAAGCGUGGAGCUCAACUCCAUCCAGCCGUUGAAACUGAUGAUCUUGAGUGGGCGAGAAGUAUGCGGAAUGCGUGGUGUAGCGGUGAAAUGCAUAGAUAUCACGAAGAACUCCGAUUGCGAAGGCAGCAUACCGGCGCCCGACUGACGCUGAAGCACGAAAGCGUGGGUAUCGAACAGGAUUAGAUACCCGUGUAGUC
RNAcentral lists this ribosomal RNA (459 nucleotides) under uncultured bacterium. Its description in RNAcentral is "partial 16S ribosomal RNA". It matches the Rfam family "Bacterial small subunit ribosomal RNA", at positions 338 to 795 of the family's 1533-position model. The record is from RNAcentral.